UGGUUCUGGCAUCGAUGAAGAACGCAGCGAAAUGCGAUACGUAAUGUGAAUUGCAGAAUUCAGUGAAUCAUCGAAUCUUUGAACGCACAUUGCGCCUAAGAGUAUUCUUUUAGGCAUGCUUGUUCGAGCGUCGUUUAAACCAUAAGGCUAUGCCUUGCGUUGAUGACUUGGAGUAAAGUCCAAUCAUCUAAAACAGUUGGCGAAACUGAUUAGUAACCCAAACGCAGCGAUAUGCGCCACAAAGUUCUAAUCUUGGUGACUGCCAAACCACAAACAAACUGUUCGACCUCGGAUCAAGUAAGAUUACCCGCUGA
Molecule: unclassified non-coding RNA, 314 nt
Filed under: uncultured fungus
Lineage: Eukaryota; Fungi
Description: partial contains 5.8S ribosomal RNA and internal transcribed spacer 2
Rfam family: 5.8S ribosomal RNA (bases 1-133)
Source: RNAcentral